Molecule: long non-coding RNA, 2927 nt
Organism: Symphalangus syndactylus (siamang)
Lineage: Eukaryota; Metazoa; Chordata; Mammalia; Primates; Hylobatidae
Source: RefSeq, a predicted model, not a curated record
AUGCGUAUUUCAGGCGGAGUGCCGGGGAGGGGAGGCGCUUAGCGUUCGGGUAAUUAAGGUUGCAAAAUGGCGAGGGGGGAGGUAAGCUGUCUUUGCUUGGCCAUCUUGGGCUAGCAGGCCUUGCAGAGAACCACCUUUUUAGCUGAGUGAAGGAAUCAACCUGAGUUGGAGUUCUCCUAUGCUGUGGCCAGAUCCACUAGAAAUUAACCCAGAAUCUUAGCCUCUCACUGGCCUAUCGGUGAUGCCACACACAAUCAGAAACUAUGCUACUGUUGAAGAGGUAUAUUGAGCCCUGCCUGGUUAACCUCCAGUGAGGUUAUUAGAGAAUUGGGAGAGGCUCAAAUCAGCAUCCUGCACCUAGUUAUCAAACCAUUGUGAAGUCUUGAUUCCUGGAUGGCCAGAAAACUUGUCAUUGGUCAAGAGCAACAUUAAGAUCUGCCUGUUACUCAUACUGAUGCUUCCUGCCCAGCAAGUUCAUCAGAGGGCGAGGAUGAAUUAUGGUUGCCAUGGAUGUCCUUGUGAGGCAGUUGGGAAGCCUUGGCUGGAUUGUGAAGGAUAUUUGAAAAGUAUUUUAGAGUCCACCAGAUCAUCCAUGUGAGUGAUCAUGCAGCAAAAGAAGGAGGGUCCUCUCAGUGGUUAAGGUAACAUAGUGAUUAAGGAUUAUGAAGUAUUAAUUCUUCCACUGAUACCUCAAAAGGUGAUCUGGACAAAGGAACAGGUAUCUCAGAGACAGGGUUUUGCCAUGUUGCCCAGGCUAGAUUUGAACUCCUGGGCUCAAGUGAUCCUCUCGACCCAGCCUCCUGAGUAUCUGAGUACCCCUGUGCCUGCUCACUCAUUUAAAGUUCUACACAUCAAAUACUAAAUUCUCAUCUACUUGACUUCUGGACUCACUGGUUGGUGUCAUUGACUCUCUUUUCCUGUGAUAGCAUAGAAUUAUUUUGAUUGUGGAAGUACUAUAAAUGUUGCUAUUUAUUGUGCCUCUUGCUGCCUAUGUUUAGACUCAUUUAUGUGAUGCCAUUUCAUAUACUCUAAAUUUUUUGGUUCUAUUUUAAUAAUGUUUGAGUCAGUGACUUUUCAUGACUCUUGACUUCCCUACUUCAACAGUUUACUAGUCUCCAUCUUGAAUGUUUUUAUUAAUCUAUUUUGUAUUAAUUCUACCCAGGUUUUUUGUUUUUCCUUGCUACUAUUAUAUAUAUUUCUGCCAGAUGUCACAUGGUAUAAAUGCCUAUAUGGACUUUUGUAACAGAAAAUUUACUUACUAGAAUUAAUGUAGGGGGCUUUUUAAUAAGAGUGCAUGUAACAUAGUAACAGUAGCAGAGCUAUAUCAGAAACAGUUCUGAUAAUAUUUCGUGAUCUAUAGUUUGUUGCAUGCCCAUUGCUUCAUACUGCUUGUGUUCUUGGUUGAGUCGUAAGUAAUUUUUAUGGGGUGUGUCAUGACUGUCAUAUUCAUAGAGAGUUGUCUGCCUUGCCCCAUGGUCUUUGCGUGGCUUAAACAGGACCCCUUUUCAUACAAAAGUCAUUCAAUUUUAUGUUUUUAAUAGCAUCAAUUUUAGUGUUUAACAUGUGACUCUGGACUAUGCAUCAGAAUACUUGACUGUUAAUGUGAAAUGAAAAUUCAUAGAUAUAAUAAUUUACGUAACAUAAUUUAACAUUUCUGUAUUAAUAAGACUUUAGAUUGUCCCUUUCACAAAAAAAUGGUGCGGUUAAAACUUAAUCCUGUGUCUUUUUGUGAGUAGUUCUAUGAUUUCUAUAUGAUGGCAUCCUUGAAAAAGUUGAUAAAAAUAAGAAUAGUUCUUAUUUAUUAAAGUUCUUCUCAAAUUGCUCUUCCAAAACAUUUUAGUUUAUACUGCAGUGUUAACCAUUUUACACUUGCUUAAGUAAUUUUCUUCAAAUACACACGAGUCCAGGCUAUUUAACCUGUAUUUUACCGCUGUAGCACAAAACAGGUUUUCCAAAAUUGUCCUUGCACACCUGGGAUUUUACAAGGAUAUUAUAAACUUGGUUCAGUUUGACUUACUGAAUUUGUAGUAAGUAUGUUUUAGCACAUAGAAAAUUCAAAAUAUGUGUUAAUCUGUUUAUAGGGUAAAUUUUUAUGAGGGUGGAUGUCAUCCUGUUUUGUUCUUUUUUUUAAAUAAAUGUUUUGUUUCACAAUGUUUUUUAUUUACAGAAAAGUUACAUAGUACAGAGAGUUCCCAUAUGCUCCACACCCAGUUUUCCCUAUUGUUAAUAUCUGGAAUUAGUAUAGUACAUUUGUCUCCUUCUCCUUUUCGCCCUUGGUAACCUCUAAUUUACUUUCAGUCUCUGAAUUUGCCCAUUCCAAAUAUUUUGUAUAACUAGAAUCAUACAAUAUUUGUCCUUUUGCUUCUGGCGUAUUUCAUUUAGCACAAUGCCUUCAAGGUUCAUCCAUGUUAUAGCAUAUGUCAGAACUUUAUUCUUUUUUAUAGCUGAAUAAUAUUUCAUUGUGUGUAUAUGCCACAUUUUGUUUAUCAUUCAUUUUGUUUAUGUACCAUGUUUUGUUUAUAUACCACAUCUAUUAGUAUGUAUUUGUUUAGAUAUGCAAUUUGCUUAUAUACCACAUUUUGUUUUUCUGCUAUCUAAUGGAUUAUGCUGCUCUGGAACAUUCAUGUGAUGCUUUUGUUAAUUGCUUACACAUUUUAUUAAGCUAAUGAGCUUGGUCAUGGUAACAUAUAAAAUCAAGAAUCGUUUAACUUUUGCAAUAAAAAUCUUGACGUUGACUCUGAAGUAUUAAGAUGCAACUUCAAUGUACUGGGAUUGUGAGGCAGCCAUAGCGAUAUUACCACAGGCUUUCCAAAAAUUAACACAAAUAUUUUCUAUUCUAGAUGUGAUAUCUUUGGCAUUACUGUUCAUUCUUUUUAUCCUUGAUUAAAGUGAAACAAUUACAUUAAAAUAGUUUUAUGAUUUAAAAA